This is a non-coding RNA of Ictidomys tridecemlineatus (thirteen-lined ground squirrel), 3393 nucleotides long. NCBI's taxonomy places the organism in Eukaryota, Metazoa, Chordata, Mammalia, Rodentia, Sciuridae. The record is from RefSeq and is a predicted model, not a curated record.
UUCAUCUAAAAAAAAUUUUUUUUUUAAGUUGCAUAAAGUGUGCCACAUAUGACUUCUUUCACUGCAAAUUUUAGAUUCUCACUUGAGAAUUCCCUGUCCUUUUUCUGAUGACUUCCAGACAAGAGGCCAGGGAAAGAUGACUCAACUGAGAUCUGGUCAGAACCAAUGAAGAUUAAAUUAUAUUAGUCUCUGUAAUGGUGAGAGUAGUCAGUGUUGCUGAGCCUGAGAUAAUUUAACUAAUUACAGGAACUUAGUGGUAAAUUCACCAAUCACUGGGGCUUCGAAAUUUAUUUGGGUCUCGUAGUUUUCUAUGAAAUGCAGAGAUUAUAAUUAUUGAUCUUAAGCUUCCUUCUAAUAUAAUCCACUUGGCAUAGUGGCUGGAACAUGGUAAAUGUUUCAUCAGUGUUGCUCUCAGGAUGAACAUCUAUCUCAGAUAAGGAAACCACCUUGUUAACUCUUUUCCCUGCUACAUUAUGAAAAAUUGAACGAUUUUGUUUUCUCUAAGCUUUCAAGUUGAUAGCUUUUUUCUGAGUCUUUUUAAGUUUUGAAAUCUGAUUUUCAUAUUAGGUAUUAGAUAAAAAUUAUUCUUAAGUGACCUUCUUCCCACCACUCUGCUGAAACAGCAAGUAUGUGUAGAGAAGAAUACAAUUUUAGCAGGAGAGUUAACCAAGGUAAAACUUUAAUUCCAAUCUUCAGCCUAGAGGGAAAAAAAAAAGGUAAGAAAAAAAUUUUCAUUUGUCUAAGGGACAUUUAUUUCAUGUUGUUUGUUUAUGACUGUGGGGAUGUGUUUUGGAGGGAAAGAGGCAUAAUUUGAGAAAUCAUUCUGGAUUAAUAUAUGCAAAUCUUUUUUAGAGUAGAGUUUUAAAGAUUUUAAAAGCAAAGGAAAUAAAUAAACAAAAACUAUGAAUAUUUUUCCUGACAUAAGAAAAUAAUAUAUGAAUUAUAAGCAUUGACUGAGUCAUUUAGAUUGAGCUGAUAGAUGGAAAUAUAGACCUUUACAACAUAGAGACAUCAAAGUAAAUAUAUUUGAAGACUCUUCCUGGCAAUAUGGAAGGAUGAUGUAUUCCUAAAAAUUUGGGCAUGAUGUUUAAUGUUUAAAUGUAUAAUGUUUAGUAAAAAGUUCAGGCUCUUGAGAAACUAGCUGGUAUACAGCCUGGCUCUUCUCUCUCAAUUGUAUGACAGAGCAUGUUUCUUAGUCUGUGUUUCCUCAACUUAAAAUUGGGAGCAAUAGUAGUGCUUACUGCCCAAUGUUUGGGGAAGGAUAAAUGAGUAAUUAUAUAUGACAAUGCUAGUAUUUGACAGUUAAUAAGCAUUUCAGUAGUGGUAGUUGAGAUUGGCAGUAAGGAAGUUUUACUGAACUCUAUGCAAGUUUCUCAUCUCUAACACACAAGUGAAUAUGACUACUAAUUCAAGAAAAUGCACCGAAGAUGUCACAAUCUUCCCAUCUGUUAUGGUUUGGACAUGAGGAGUCCCCCAGAAAGCUCCCAUGUUAAUGCAGGAAUAUUCAGAGGUGAAAUGGUUAGGCUGUGAGAGCUGUGACCUAAUCGGUCCAUCCUACUGACUGGGUGGACUAUAGGCAGGGUGGGUCGUGGCUGGAGGAGGUAGGUCACUGGGAGCAUGCCUUGGAAGGGUUGCUCUUCCCUCUGGCCCCUUUCCCUUGCUCUCUCUGCUUCCUUACAUGAGGUGGACAGCACUCCACCACUUCUUUCUGCCGUGAUGUUCUGCCUCACCGUGGGUCCAGAGAAAUUGGCUUGGUUGACGAUGGACUAAACCUCUGAAACCAUUAGCCAAAAUAAAUUUUUGCUCCUCUAAGUUGUUCUUGUCAGGUAUUUUGGUUACAGUGAUGAAAAGAUGACUAAUACACCAUUUUUAACACACCAUCUUUCACUCCAAAUUCCUAGAAAUGGUAGAAAACUGACAUAAAUGAUGGCAGAUGGUAUUCAAGUGAAGAGUACUGCAGAAGAUAUGAGUGGACCAAGGAAUGAUCCGCACUAUUUGGAACAAACAUACCAGGAACAAGAGUUGGUCUUGGGACAACUGAUAGGACGACCGUCUGAAGAACAACAGGUAUUGUGGUUAGGAGGAAUUACCCUAUCUUCCUGAGUUCUGGGAUCUGGACUUUGAAAAGGUUACAAAAGUCUCUCCCUUCAUGAUGCGGAAAGCAGUUGGCCACGGUGAUGCUCAUCGACUUCAAGUACCAACUUGCUUGGGAAUUGUGAUGCUGUACAGGGUCACUUGGCACCGAGAGACCUGUCUGGCACCUGUAUUCUCCACUCUCACUGACCCUCGCUGCAGUGAUGCUAUACUUGGAGGUCGAGGUCUGAAUGGCUGUGCCGUUGAGAAACCACCGUGUGGAGUUGUCUCCAGGCCGUUGCGGCCCCUCACACAAUAGGGUGACCUGUUCAUCUUGGAACACACUUACCCACGGAGGCUGCAAGGUUAACGGAACUCAUCCUUUGGAAGAAAGACAGUGGCCUAAGAGGAGAAUCUGAGGUAGCCAUCACUUACCCACUUGCCCACCAGCUGGAACUGCAGAUGGAAGAGCAGAGACAUCAGGUGCAUGAGACAAGAACCUUCCAAUGCUCCUGUGACCCUGUGUCACACAGUGAUAGCUGUCUGACAGAAGUGGAAAACAAGGAAGACUUGAGAGGAACUCAAGAUGUUCUGAGAGAGAUGAGAGAAGCCUCAGGUCCAUGAGAUUUACCUUCAAAGACGUUCAUAACUCUUAUACUAUUUUGUCUCCAAAGUUAGCUUCUAUACAGAUGUACCGUAAUUUCUUUCAUCAGCCUUUCUUCAUGGACACAGAGUAUAUUUCUAACUUUUUGUUAUGAUCCGCUCUGCAAUACCUUUAAACAUUUGACUUAUUAUUUCCUUAGGACACAUAUCUAAAAUCAGCACUGCUCAAAGAAGGUUUCAAUUUUUUCUUUUGGAUAAAAGAUUAUUGUCAUCUUUUAUGUCAGAUUAUCAUCAUUGUUGCAAUCUCACUGGCAGGGAAUAUUUUAUAAUGAUGACAAGUAGCAUUAUAGAUUUAAUUAGAGCCUUGAUUUUUUUCCCCUCAAUCUACCAAUAUUUGUACUGUAUGUCAGAUAGUUAUGCUAUGAUUAUGUAUAAAGACAUGAAUGGUGUGAAUAUACUUUGUAUACAACCAGAGAUCUGAAAAUAUGUGCUCUAUAUGUGUAAUAUGAAUUAUAAUGCAUUCUGCUGUCAUUAGAAUGAAAAAUAAAAAAUAGGGAUUUCUAUUUUGCUAAAUCCAAUAUUGUAAUAUGGUCAAUACUUAAUAUUGUAAUGAGACUUUUAGUCCCUCUCCCCAAAUCUAUAGUUAUAAAACAGACCCACAGUACUCCUAAUUUUAAUUUCCCUGUUUAUUAAUAAAGUUGAACAAUUUUUCCUAUA